GAUGAACGCUGGCGGCGUGCCUAAUACAUGCAAGUCGAGCGAACAUACGAGGAGCUUGCUCCUCUGACGUUAGCGGCGGACGGGUGAGUAACACGUUGAUAAACUACCUAUAAGACUGGGAUAAAUUCGGGGAACCGGAGCUAAUACCGGAUAAUAUAUUGAACCGCAUGGUUCAAUAGUGAAAUACGGUUUUGCUGUCACUUAUAGAUGGAUCCGCGCCGCAUUAGCUAGUUGGUAAGGUAACGACUUACCAAGGCGACGAUGCGUAGCCGACCUGAGAGGGUGACUGGCCAGACUGGCUCUGAGGCGAGGUCGCGACUCCUAAGCGAGGCAGCAGUAGGGAAUCUUCCGCAAUGGGCGAAAGCCUGACGGAGCAACGCCGCGGGAGUGAUGAAGGUCUUCCGAUCGUAAAACUCUGUUAUUAGGCAAGAACAAAAGUGUAAGUAACUAUGCACGUCUUGACGGUACCUAAUCAGAAAGCCACGGCUAACUACGUG
This 497-nucleotide ribosomal RNA is filed under the name uncultured bacterium. RNAcentral's name for it is "partial 16S ribosomal RNA". It matches the Rfam family "Bacterial small subunit ribosomal RNA", at positions 28 to 507 of the family's 1533-position model. The record is from RNAcentral.